UAUUGUUUAUAAAUGAAAAUAUAUCUAUUUACAGUAAAAAAUUAUUAUUUUUAACUAUUUUUAACAUUAUAAAUGGCAAAUGCAUGGAAAACUCAAAUCAUCAUUUUAAUUUUUAGACUAUACACUAAAAUACAUGCUGUAUCUUUAUGAAAACAUUAAAAUCGGUAAGUAUUUACGUUGUGUUAUUAUUUAACACAAAUUACAUAUAAUCUAAUAUAUAAUACCUACGUUAAUAAUAUCUCUUUUAAAUUAUUAAAUCAGGAGAAAUAUCGAUAAAUUAUGACUCAGAACACCCAAUAAAUAUAUCAAAUAAAAACAAAUCAAGCGAAAUUCCACGAAGUAAACAACCUAUUCUGAUGUCUCCAAAACAUUAUUGUUUAAUCAUAUCAGGUAUGUUAAAAUUAAA
This is a non-coding RNA of Cinara cedri, 406 nucleotides long. NCBI's taxonomy places the organism in Eukaryota, Metazoa, Arthropoda, Insecta, Hemiptera, Aphididae. The record is from the annotation of a GenBank genome assembly.